GAUGAACGCUAGCGACAGGCUUAACACAUGCAAGUCGAGGGGCAGCGAGGGCGUAGCAAUACGCCUGUCGGCGACCGGCGCACUGGUGAGUAACACGUAUGCGACCUGCCCCCUACAGGGGUAUAACCCGUAGAAAUGCGGACUAAUCCCCCAUAGUCCCGGAGGCUGCAUGGCCUGCGGGGGAAAGGGUUUCCGGUAGGGGAUGGGCAUGCGGCGCAUUAGCUAGUUGGCGGGGCAACGGCCCACCAAGGCGACGAUGCGUAGGGGUUCUGAGAGGAAGGUCCCCCCACACUGGUACUGAGACACGGGACCAGACUCCUACGGGGAGGCAGCAGUGAGGAAUAUUGGUCAAUGGACGGGAGUCUGAACCAGCCAAGUCGCGUGAGGGAUGAAGGUCCUACGGGAUUUGGUAAAACCCUCUUUUUGCCCGGGGGAGUAACGUCGUCCACGAGUGGGCGAGUGAGAGUACCCCGGAGAAAAAGCAUCGGCUAACUCCGUG
RNAcentral lists this ribosomal RNA (499 nucleotides) under uncultured bacterium. Its description in RNAcentral is "bacterial SSU rRNA". It matches the Rfam family "Bacterial small subunit ribosomal RNA", at positions 28 to 507 of the family's 1533-position model. The record is from RNAcentral.